RNAcentral lists this ribosomal RNA (253 nucleotides) under uncultured bacterium. RNAcentral describes it as "partial 16S ribosomal RNA". It matches the Rfam family "Bacterial small subunit ribosomal RNA", at positions 524 to 776 of the family's 1533-position model. The record is from RNAcentral.
UACGAAGGGUGCAAGCGUUAUCCGGAUUCAUUGGGUUUAAAGGGUGCGUAGGCGGCCCUGUAAGUCAGUGGUGAAAUACUCCAGCUUAACUGGAGGGGUGCCAUUGAUACUGCAGGGCUUGAGUGGAGUCGAAGUAGGCGGAAUUGACGGUGUAGCGGUGAAAUGCUUAGAUAUCGUCAAGAACACCGAUAGUGAAGACAGCUUACUAGGCUUCUACUGACGCUGAGGCACGAAAGUGUGGGGAUCAAACAGG